Long non-coding RNA from Naja naja (Indian cobra), 1808 nucleotides. The record is from Ensembl. NCBI's taxonomy places the organism in Eukaryota, Metazoa, Chordata, Lepidosauria, Squamata, Elapidae.
GGUGUGGCAGCUAAUUUCAGCCUUUUCAAGUGGAUUAAACUCCUUUUGCUUAAUGCCUGCAGGGGAAGGCCAUCCCCGGAGGAGCGAUUUGUUGUCACACCGACCUUUGCAACAGUUGGCAUGGAGACCACUCAACUCACUGAAGAGAAUACAGAUUUUGCUUCCCGAGAUCGUUACCAUCAUUCCUCUGUUAUCACCCGAGAAGAGUUGGUCCAUCAGUUCCAAUGAGAGAGCUAUGUGCCAUUCACUUUACCAGCCAAUUAAAGGCUGAGUACGGACAUACCACCUGAUUAAAAGGCUUGCCCUUUUCACAACUGAUCUUAAUGAAUGCUGAAACUUCCAAUUAAGGGGAGUUAGGGGGAAGGAGCGGCAGGCAAGUUCAAAACCUGCUCGGUCUAAAAAAAAAAAAAGAGGAUUUGGGUUUUCAUUCCAGGGCAUCGGAUAUUUUUGUGCAAUAACUAUCAAUCUAAAAUAGAACGUGGUUUUAACACUUACGGUACCUGUAUUUGCUAGAGAACAAAUUCAAUUCCACAGGCAGGUCCUUCUGAAAUCUAGAAUUACCCCAGGCUUCUCCAAAGUGGUUGGUAUUGAGCGCCAAAUAUCAAUGGGACUAUCCAUUGGUUUUAUUGUUAAUAUUACUAUUUGCAGUACUGUUAAUUAAAAUAGUGUUUAUUUUCAUAUAAUAAAUAUUUGGGGAUUGAUGAGAAAUCUAAAACUUAAUGAAGAGGUCAAUGAACAGAAGAAUUUAGGGACCUCCUGAGUUACAGAAUAUAAAGAGAGAAAAGCUAUUAUGGACAAUCAAUGCAAGUGUUUACUAUGGGUGGAACGGAGAAGUUUUCUACCUUCGCUGGAAUUGGAUCAAACUUUUCUGAAUCUUGCAGUUGUCCUGAACAAUACUUCAAACUCAUACUGACUCUUCCUUAUUUAUAUUUCAAAAGUUAGGCACAAACAAUUAGCUGUGACAUAGAACUUAAAUUGCACUUUAGUCUUCAGACUUCCAUGCCUUCUAGGUCAUGCCCAGGAUGCCAUAGAGAUAGUCACAACCACAAUUGAGCCCAAUGGAUGAGAAACAAGAUGUCUUCUUCCUCAGGGGGAAAAAAAUCAGUCCAGUUGCCUUUUGAAAAAGCAUCUUCGAGACAAGAAUUUAUGUGCUUGGUAAAGCGACUUGGCAUCUGAUGCCAGUAAAGUAACAUUGCCAAAUUUAAUUUCUAAGUAAUUAGAAACACUAUGGAAACAUGUUUUGUUUUGUAGUAAGAGUCCUCAAGGUUAAUAAAUUGUCAUAUUUAUACAAGGAUUAAAAUCUACUUAUUCAUUUAUCUUUCCCUUUCUUUCGCUUACAAUUUGAGAGACUGUAAUAAAAGUCAAUAAUUCUACUGUUUAAGUAUAAUAUAUCUAAGAACUUUACAUACCAGGUUUUCAAAAAUUAUCAUUAUCUAUUUCCCCUUUUUUGUUUUUGCUGUCUCAAUCUCUUUCCAUUAUUUUCCGCCUUUAUUUUAUUUGAUUAAUAAUAAGUAUUGUUGCUAAAACAAAUAGUAAAUGGCACUUCUUAUUUGACUGCACAGUGCAACCUAAGAGAACUAUGAUUUGAUAUUAUGUUCUGUGAAAAAAAAGACGUCCUGCUAAUCCUUUUCAAAUUUUUGUCAUAAGUGAAAAUAUAUCCACUUUCACUUUGUGCUUGAAAAAACCAAAUCCUUGCCAAUUAAAUUUUUUUUUACAAAGGUUGCAAAUAUUUCUACAAUUUCUUCUGGAUUUGUUGUCACACCGACAACAAAUAGCUUAGAUUGAUAGUUAUUGCACAAAAAUUCAGG